CUGAGAAACACGCCGGGACCCAUCUUCUGAAGCUGCCAGAAGUCAGGUUCAAGAUGCCAAGGACGAUGUGAGAUUCUUUGAAAAGGAAAAUAACUUUGAUCCACCAUGGCCUUCUGGUUAUAUCCCAAAGUCACGGGUUCCUAUUAUUCUAUUUUCCCAAUGGCUUCAACGGCAGUAUUUUGGAGACUCUGGUAAGACGUAACAGAUGAAGAAGGAGGUGGUGUGUAUAUGUAUACUUGCAUAUGGAAUUCCAUCAGCAUUAGGGGAAAUGUGUGUUUCUAUAUCUGGUUUGGAUCUAACACCAUGAUGUGAGAAUGGAUUCAUUUCAUCCAGCGAGAGGCACCAUCUCAAACCCCAGGGAACAGAAAUAGGAAGAUAAGUUGUAUACAACCUUUGAGCCGAGUCCUUGCCAUAUAGCAUCUUAUUGAAUCCCGUCCAUAACCCAACAAAGAUAUUGAAUAAAAAUACUUGCUCAAGAAUGGAAGUCAAGUAGACUGCAAACCUUUGCUUUAUCUUGUAGACACUGAUCCCGUAAUCUGUGGUCCCAAGGAGCUCACUGGUAAGCAGAGAAGAAGUAGGGAGAAGGUUGAACAAUUCACCCAGAGAAGUACAUAGACUGAGAUCAUCAGAAACUUAGGAGCAUGGAGUCACUUGGAUCCCUCCAAGAAGAUGCAGUGAAGGUGAAAAAGUCACCCUGGGAAGCAGCUGACAGCCCUAGGCCGGCUGGGUGGCCUGUGGCAGAGGUCAGAGGGCAAAGGGCCAGUUUUAAUUUGCACCGGGCGCGCCUCAACCCCUGAGACUGACACCAAACACCCCAGUCACCCAAAGCGCAUCGCAAAGCUUCUGCUAACUGGUGGUUCCAGUUAGUAGAGAUAAAAGUCAGUUUAUAAGAAGGUGAAGAUCAGAGGUCAGAGGUGAAGGUCACAAUGCUGUACCCCUUUUAUUGAUUUUACCCUAAAAACCCAAAUGACCCAAGUUUGCUGCUACACCUAGACUGGCCUCACCAAGCUUGUAAUUAAUUCUGGACCAAAACAGAGCCAAGAAGUGACUGAUGAUAUAUAACAACCAAGAAGCAAUUUACGAUACAUGUAUGUGUAUGUGUGCGUAUAUAUAUGUUUACUGGAUAUCCAUUUCCUGCCUUCGAUAUAUCUGUGUGUAUGCUUGAUACGUUUUUCACAUGAGAAGAAAAUGCGAAGCUUGUACACGUAUGAAAAGAAGCAGACUGUUUAACUUUAUUGCACCAUUUUUCAACAAAAAGGUCUACCAACAGUAACAUGAAAGCUGCAAGCCUUCUCUUGCAAAAGUAUCUAUUCCAACCUUUUGGAAAGGAGCCAAGUGGCUUCAUCUUUGUCAACGAGGGAUUUUCUUUUUCACUGAGACAUCCAACCAUUAAAAUCAAUCAUUUGGGAACACAGAACGUCCUUUUAAGGCAAGACAAGCUUUGUUUGUGUUUGAUUUCCAGUGUUGUGACUGUGAAUUUUUCUUGACAGUCCCUUUGGGCAAAGUACAAUUUGGCAUAUGGUGCCAAUAAAUGAAUUAAAUGAAUUAAUGAUAGCUCGAUCAAUGUUAAUACAUAAAUAAAUUCAUCCAGAAACAGGAAGGUUUCCCAAUGUUUGGUCUUCAGGUUUUAAAAACUGUGUGUACAUUGGCACCAACCCGGAAUUCUUUUUUCUAGGGAAAAUUUUGUUCCAAUCAGAGGCCUCUUCCAGUGUCUUUCCAUGCGAGAUUGAGGUGACUUCUACUAGAUAUACAACAGAGGUCUCUGUUUUUAUGAAAAGACACAGUCUUGACUUUGUUUUCAAUAGCUAGACUCGGGGUUCUUGCAGGAGAUGUCAAUUUUGAAGUCUUUACCCCCCCGUCUUUUUCAGCAUCCCAGGUAAACUAGUUUACUCUGAAAAGAUUUCCUGAGGGACAUUUAGUCAACUUCUCCUCGUACAGAUCCUAAAGUUUACCCUCGGGUCAAUUCAAACCACUGAAAAGUUUUGGAGUUUAAGAGAAGGGAGAGGUCACAGCUGGAGUUCAAAGUGCUGGCUUCUCACAGGAAAGCUUUCCCAAUAUUGUUUCCCUCCAUGAUGGUGGUUUAUAUUAGGCCCAUAAAAACUGGGCACUUUUGAAACAC
Long non-coding RNA from Physeter macrocephalus (sperm whale), 2119 nucleotides. RefSeq lists it as uncharacterized. The transcript is spliced from 3 exons. The record is from RefSeq and is a predicted model, not a curated record. Lineage: Eukaryota; Metazoa; Chordata; Mammalia; Artiodactyla; Physeteridae.